UAGAUACCCCACUAUGCUUAGCCCUAAACAAAAUCAGUAACAUCACAAUACUGUUCGCCAGAGAACUACAAGCGAAAAACUUAAAACUCCAAGGACUUGGCGGUGCUCCAUACCAACCUAGAGGAGCCUGUCCUAUAAUCGAUAAUCCCCGUUCAACCUUACCACCCAUUGAAAACCAGCCUAUAUACCGCCGUCGACAGCCUACCUCAUGAGAGGAAAAAAGUAGGCAUAAUAAUUAAUAAUUAACACGUCAGGUCAAGGUGUAGCUAAUGGGGUGGUAGAGAUGGGCUACAUUUCCUGCUUCAGGAAAAACGAACAGUGUGCUGAAACACACACUCAAAGGCGGAUUUAGCAGUAAAAUUAACCAAGAGAAAUUAUCUCAAACCUGCUCUGGAGCGCGCACACACCGCCCGUCACCCA
RNAcentral lists this ribosomal RNA (420 nucleotides) under Ablepharus sikimmensis. RNAcentral's name for it is "partial 12S ribosomal RNA". It matches the Rfam family "Bacterial small subunit ribosomal RNA", at positions 779 to 1403 of the family's 1533-position model. Lineage: Eukaryota; Metazoa; Chordata; Lepidosauria; Squamata; Scincidae. The record is from RNAcentral.